UACGAAGGGGGCUAGCGUUGCUCGGAAUUACUGGGCGUAAAGGGCGCGUAGGCGGAUAUCUAAGUUGGGGGUGAAAUCCCGGGGCUCAACCUCGGAAUUGCCUUCAAAACUGGAUAUCUUGAGUUCGGGAGAGGUGAGUGGAACUCCGAGUGUAGAGGUGAAAUUCGUAGAUAUUCGGAAGAACACCAGUGGCGAAGGCGACUCACUGGCCCGAUACUGACGCUGAGGCGCGAAAGCGUGGGGAGCGAACAGG
This 253-nucleotide ribosomal RNA is filed under the name uncultured bacterium. RNAcentral describes it as "partial 16S ribosomal RNA". It matches the Rfam family "Bacterial small subunit ribosomal RNA", at positions 524 to 776 of the family's 1533-position model. The record is from RNAcentral.